AGCCGUAGUGCCUCCUUCCUAUGGAAACUUGAAACCUAUGGUUUUCAAGUUUUGAUUUCACAUUUUGAGCAUUUCUUGUUUCAUAUCAAUUGUCUAAGGGGCAUAUAGUUCCAAGUGCUUCAAUCAAAGUCAUGGUUUAUUUUGAUUUGAAAGCAAUGAAAAAGGCAGUUAAAUAUAUGAUCUAGUAGAGGAGACAUUGCCCAUAUUUGGAGAUUAAACAAUUGUCUCAAACUCAAGUCAUUCCUGCAAAGU
RNAcentral lists this long non-coding RNA (252 nucleotides) under Elaeis guineensis (African oil palm). Its description in RNAcentral is "long non-coding RNA (EGUI_LNC068550)". Lineage: Eukaryota; Viridiplantae; Streptophyta; Magnoliopsida; Arecales; Arecaceae. The record is from RNAcentral.